RNAcentral lists this ribosomal RNA (253 nucleotides) under uncultured bacterium. Its description in RNAcentral is "partial 16S ribosomal RNA". It matches the Rfam family "Bacterial small subunit ribosomal RNA", at positions 524 to 776 of the family's 1533-position model. The record is from RNAcentral.
UACGUAGGGGGCAAGCGUUAUCCGGAAUCAUUGGGCGUAAAGCGCGUGUAGGCGGUCCGGUAAGUCCGCUGUGAAAGUCGGGGGCUCAACCCUCGGAUGCCGGUGGAUACUGUCGGGCUUGAGUACGGAAGAGGCGAGUGGAAUUCCUGGUGUAGCGGUGAAAUGCGCAGAUAUCAGGAGGAACACCAAUUGCGAAGGCAGCUCGCUGGGACGUUACUGACGCUGAGACGCGAAAGCGUGGGGAGCAAACAGG